This 114-nucleotide ribosomal RNA is filed under the name uncultured bacterium. RNAcentral's name for it is "partial 16S ribosomal RNA". It matches the Rfam family "Bacterial small subunit ribosomal RNA", at positions 1369 to 1482 of the family's 1533-position model. The record is from RNAcentral.
CGUUCCCGGGCCUUGUACACACCGCCCGUCACACCAUGGGAGUGGGUUGUACCAGAAGUAGUUAGAAUAACCUUAGGGGGUUCGAUUACCACGGUAUGGUUCAUGACUGGGGUG